GGUGAUGUAGCUCAGUGGUAGAGCAUUUGCCUAGCAUGCUCCAAGCCCUAGGGUACAUCCCUAGCAAUGCUA
Molecule: transfer RNA, 72 nt
Filed under: Heterocephalus glaber (naked mole-rat)
Lineage: Eukaryota; Metazoa; Chordata; Mammalia; Rodentia; Bathyergidae
Rfam family: tRNA
About the family: Transfer RNA (tRNA) molecules are approximately 80 nucleotides in length.
Source: Rfam by way of RNAcentral